AUGCAGUCGAGCGGGGAAAGUAGCUUGCUACUUGACCUAGCGGCGGACGGGUGAGUAAUGCUUAGGAAUCUGCCUAUUAGUGGGGGACAACAUCUCGAAAGGGAUGCUAAUACCGCAUACGUCCUACGGGAGAAAGCAGGGGACCUUCGGGCCUUGCGCUAAUAGAUGAGCCUAAGUCGGAUUAGCUAGUUGGUGGGGUAAAGGCCUACCAAGGCGACGAUCUGUAGCGGGUCUGAGAGGAUGAUCCGCCACACUGGGACUGAGACACGGCCCAGACUCCUACGGGAGGCAGCAGUGGGGAAUAUUGGACAAUGGGGGGAACCCUGAUCCAGCCAUGCCGCGUGUGUGAAGAAGGCCUUUUGGUUGUAAAGCACUUUAAGCGAGGAGGAGGCUACCGAGAUUAAUACUCUUGGAUAGUGGACGUUACUCGCAGAAUAAGCACCGGCUAACUCUGUGCCAGCAGCCGCGGUAAUACAGAGGGUGCAAGCGUUAAUCGGAUUUACUGGGCGUAAAGCGCGCGUAGGUGGCCAAUUAAGUCAAAUGUGAAAUCCCCGAGCUUAACUUGGGAAUUGCAUUCGAUACUGGUUGGCUAGAGUAUGGGAGAGGAUGGUAGAAUUCCAGGUGUAGCGGUGAAAUGC
This 638-nucleotide ribosomal RNA is filed under the name Acinetobacter sp.37AGV. Its description in RNAcentral is "bacterial SSU rRNA". It matches the Rfam family "Bacterial small subunit ribosomal RNA", at positions 55 to 689 of the family's 1533-position model. The record is from RNAcentral. Lineage: Bacteria; Pseudomonadati; Pseudomonadota; Gammaproteobacteria; Moraxellales; Moraxellaceae.